Molecule: ribosomal RNA, 369 nt
Filed under: uncultured eukaryote
Lineage: Eukaryota
Description: partial small subunit ribosomal RNA
Source: RNAcentral
CGUGGAAGCGCUGUAAACCAGGACGGGCGGUCCAACGGAUUCACCGCACCCAAUGGACUGUCGCAGCAGGCGGUGAUUCGGAGUGCGCUUGCAUCGGCGGGGCUCAGUCCGCUCGAUGUGGAUGCCGUGGAGUGCCAUGGCACCGGCACGUCCCUCGGAGAUCCGAUCGAGGUCGAGUCUCUUGCGACUGUGUACGGCGCAGAGCGUCCGGAGGGUCGUCCGCUCCACAUCGGGUCCAUCAAGACGAACAUCGGGCACUGUGAAGGCGCGGCGGGGAUCGCGGGCGUCCUCAAGGCGAUCCUCUCGUUGCAGCAUGGUGUGAUUCCCAAGACGCUGCACUGCGACCCCCCCAGUCCGCAUAUUCCCUGG